ACGGAGGGGGCUAGCGUUGUUCGGAAUUACUGGGCGUAAAGCGCACGUAGGCGGCUUUGCAAGUCAGAGGUGAAAGCCCGGGGCUCAACCCCGGAAUUGCCUUUGAGACUGCAUCGCUAGAAUUGUGGAGAGGUAAGUGGAAUUCCGAGUGUAGAGGUGAAAUUCGUAGAUAUUCGGAAGAACACCAGUGGCGAAGGCGACUUACUGGACAAGCAUUGACGCUGAGGCACGAAAGCGUGGGGAGCAAACAGGA
Molecule: ribosomal RNA, 253 nt
Filed under: uncultured prokaryote
Description: partial 16S ribosomal RNA
Rfam family: Bacterial small subunit ribosomal RNA
Source: RNAcentral